UCCAAGAAUAACGAACAGAAUACUAAGCUACAAAAAUCACAACCUAAUCUGCAGCAGCAUUAGUCUUGUAUGGUGUACAUGUAUUGCUUGGAACCAUUCAGUCUUAAACAUUCUCCACAUAUCCAAUGAUAGAUGGUGAACAUCAGCAUAUGGGGAAGGUUAUCUUGAGGUCCACGAGAUGAUUGUAAGAGAACAGUCUCAAGCCAAGCCUUCGUAGCAUGUAUAUCGGUUCAUUGCAGUAACCAUCCUUC
This 251-nucleotide long non-coding RNA is filed under the name Phoenix dactylifera (date palm). Its description in RNAcentral is "long non-coding RNA (PDAC_LNC014139)". The record is from RNAcentral. Lineage: Eukaryota; Viridiplantae; Streptophyta; Magnoliopsida; Arecales; Arecaceae.